UAAGCAGAUCGCCUUAUCGCUGUGUUUACACAGAGGAAAGUCCGAACACCAUAGUGCAGCAUAGUGGUUAACAGCCAUCAACCGUGAGGUUAGGAAAAGUGCAACAGAAAGUAUGUACAGGUAAUGCUGUAGUGAAAUCAGGUAAACUCUAUGCGGUGCAAUGCCAUGUAUACCAACGUUUGAGUGCGGCACGUACGAUUGUUGGAGGGUAGGCAGCUAGAGUGUAUUGGCAACAAUGCAUUAAGAUAAAUGAUAAGGGCUGUUUUUUGAACAGUACAGAAUUCGGCUUAUAGAUCUGCUUUUUAU
This 306-nucleotide RNase P RNA is filed under the name Mangrovimonas spongiae. RNAcentral's name for it is "Mangrovimonas sp. HN-E26 RNase P RNA component class A". It matches the Rfam family "Bacterial RNase P class A". Rfam says of the family: Ribonuclease P (RNase P) is a ubiquitous endoribonuclease, found in archaea, bacteria and eukarya as well as chloroplasts and mitochondria. Its best characterised activity is the generation of mature 5'-ends of tRNAs by cleaving the 5'-leader elements of precursor-tRNAs. Lineage: Bacteria; Pseudomonadati; Bacteroidota; Flavobacteriia; Flavobacteriales; Flavobacteriaceae. The record is from RNAcentral.